UGCUCAGAACGCCAAGGGCGGCCCCCUCAAGGCUGUUUUGCUUCUGGGGAGGGGGACCGGCAGCCCUCACCCCUCUCCCACUGGACGCAGCUCAGGGCCCGGAUGAAGCACCUGCACGGGCCGGGUGAGGGCUCUGAGCAGAAAACAGCGGCAGAAAGACGGGAGUGAGACAAACACGUGAAGAGCCUCCAAACUGGUGAUCACCCCACUGACGACCCAGACAUGGGUGCAGGCGUGGGACGCACACAGCACUGUGGCAUAACGAAGCUCCAGCUUUCUGACGAGAUGACUAAAAAGCGGAACCCCAGAUGUUGAACCACCCUUGAAGCCCAGGAAUAAAGCCCAUUUGGUCAUGCUUAAUUGUAUCUAGGUCAGAGAAGAUGGCCUUAAGAUGUGAGACAAAAAAAUAAAAUCUAGACCCUUGAACAAAAGCAAAGUCCUGGAAGCUCUAGUUCAGGUUUUGGUUAAACACCUGAGUGCCAGGUGCGUGGGUAUUUAAUUCCUUUCCCGGAAGAAUGGGCCUGAGGGAGCCCAUUGGACCAAGUGUUUCGUGGACAAGGACAUCACACAAGCUGUCUUUUCUCACGUCAGGGAACAGACCUCAGCACCCUCUUCUUCCACAUGAAGUUUUAUCCUGUCUUAUUCUGUCAUUGAAUAAAGCGGUGAAAGUAGAUACCCGUGUAUGGUUUCUGAUGUUACAGGAAACACCAUUAAUGUUUCCCUAUUUCCAAUUGGUGAUAAGUUUUUUUACA
This is a long non-coding RNA of Mustela lutreola (European mink), 752 nucleotides long. RefSeq lists it as uncharacterized. The transcript has 4 exons. NCBI's taxonomy places the organism in Eukaryota, Metazoa, Chordata, Mammalia, Carnivora, Mustelidae. The record is from RefSeq and is a predicted model, not a curated record.